This 748-nucleotide long non-coding RNA is filed under the name Homo sapiens (human). Its description in RNAcentral is "HSALNT0286882". Lineage: Eukaryota; Metazoa; Chordata; Mammalia; Primates; Hominidae. The record is from RNAcentral.
GCCAGUGCAAGUGCAGAGACAGUUGCCAGGUACACAAGCCAGCCACGAGGAUAUAAAUUACUCCUUUACCCUUCUGCGAGCAAAAAAAAAGUCCUCUGAAACAUCUAUUACCCAAUCAAGAAAGCAUAAGAGAGGGGAAAAAGUCAACAAUAAUUGUCUGUUACCACAUGUUGACUAAGAAAUGAAAUCAGAACCAAGAGAUCCCCAGAGAAUGCCACCAAUCCAAGUAAGCCCUGUGUGUAAGAAGGGAGGGAGGGAGGUGGAGUCCCACGGUUAGCCAGACAUUCAAAAUAAGGACGGGGGAAGACUGAACAUGGAAGACACAUUUCCUCCUCCACACUUCAUCCCACAGGCAAAUGGGAAAAGGGGCUUGGUGUUUCUGCAUGUCGGGGUGAGGGAGCAGGUAGGAGUAGAAAUGGGAAGGGCCCAUCUGGGUCGAGGUGUGCUGUGUGGGCGAUACCAAUGUAACAGUGACAAUCUUCUCACAAAGGCAGACAACAAAAUCACUUCCAGGCCACCUUCCUCACAGUAGUAUGUGUUGUACCUCAGCCGAUGCUGUGAGCACCUGAAGGCCUCAGAAAGACCAAAAAAAGUACCCUACAGAAAGUCACCAACAAUAUCACCAUGCAGUAAAAUAAUAGUGUUUGGAAGCUACAAAUGCAACACCAAUUGGGGCACUCACUAAGAAACUUAGGGUGGAGCAGUGGCCUUCCAAAGGCAGGGUAGUGAGAGUGGUGCCCCCACCCCA